UGGGGAAUAUUGCACAAUGGGCGCAAGCCUGAUGCAGCCAUGCCCCGUGUAUGAAGAAGGCCUUCGGGUUGUAAAGUACUUUCAGCGGGGAGGAAGGGAGUAAAGUUAAUACCUUUGCUCAUUGACGUUACCCGCAGAAGAAGCACCGGCUAACUCCGUGCCAGCAGCCGCGGUAAUACGGAGGGUGCAAGCGUUAAUCGGAAUUACUGGGCGUAAAGCGCACGCAGGCGGUUGAUUGAGUCAGAUGUGAAAUCCCCGGGCUUAACCCGGGAAUUGCAUCUGAUACUGGUCAGCUAGAGUCUUGUAGAGGGGGGUAGAAUUCCAUGUGUAGCGGUGAAAUGCGUAGAGAUGUGGAGGAAUACCGGUGGCGAAGGCGGCCCCCUGGACAAAGACUGACGCUCAGGUGCGAAAGCGUGGGGAGCAAACAGG
This 429-nucleotide ribosomal RNA is filed under the name Chloroflexota bacterium. RNAcentral describes it as "Chloroflexi bacterium partial 16S ribosomal RNA". It matches the Rfam family "Bacterial small subunit ribosomal RNA", at positions 355 to 776 of the family's 1533-position model. Lineage: Bacteria; Bacillati; Chloroflexota. The record is from RNAcentral.